This 461-nucleotide ribosomal RNA is filed under the name uncultured bacterium. RNAcentral describes it as "partial 16S ribosomal RNA". It matches the Rfam family "Bacterial small subunit ribosomal RNA", at positions 338 to 795 of the family's 1533-position model. The record is from RNAcentral.
CCUACGGGAGGCAGCAGUGAGGAAUAUUGGUCAAUGGGCUUACGCCUGAACCAGCCAAGUCGCGUGAGGGAUGACUGCCCUCUGGGUUGUAAACCUCUUUUGUCAGGGAGCACUUGGCGCUACGUGUAGCGUUACCUCGAGUACCUGACGAAACAGCAUCCGCUAACUCCGUGCCAGCCGCCGCUGUAAUACGUAGGAUGCCAGCGUUAUCCGGAUUUAUUGGGUUUAAAGGGUGCGGAGGCGGGAAGCCAAUUCAGCGGGAAAAUCCCGGGGCUCAACCGUGGACCGGCGGUGGAAACUGGAGAACUUGAGUGGACAAGAGGAAUGGGGAAUGCGGGGUGGAGCGGUGAAAUGCGUAGAGAUCAGGAAGAACACCAGUGGCGAAGGCGACAUACCGGUGCGCAACUGACGCUGAAGCGCGAAAGCGUGGGUAUCAAACAGGAUUAGAUACCCCUGGAGUC